UAGCAUCACCAAAUCACCCCGAGUGCACCCGAUCACAUCGGGUCCCGACAGCUAAGUGGCGACGAGCCUGGUUGAUCUCUGGAUGGGAGACCGACCGUGAAUACCAAGUGUUGUCGGGG
Molecule: ribosomal RNA, 119 nt
Filed under: Petromyzon marinus (sea lamprey)
Lineage: Eukaryota; Metazoa; Chordata; Hyperoartia; Petromyzontiformes; Petromyzontidae
Source: RNAcentral